Ailuropoda melanoleuca (giant panda) is the source of this 131-nucleotide small nucleolar RNA. Ensembl annotates it as small nucleolar RNA, H/ACA box 49. NCBI's taxonomy places the organism in Eukaryota, Metazoa, Chordata, Mammalia, Carnivora, Ursidae. The record is from Ensembl.
UUCCCUCAGCCUUACUCCCGGGCCUUUUGCUGUGAAGUGCCCCGGCAUUGCCUGAGGGUACAGGACCGAGCACACGUCCCUCCCCAGGAAGACUCUGUGUUCUCCUGGGGCCUACGGGUUGAGCUGACAGU